GACGAACGCUGGCGGCGUGCUUAACACAUGCAAGUCGAACGGAAAGUCCCUGCUUUUGUGGGGUUCUCGAGUGGCGAACGGGUGAGUAACACGUGAGUAACCUGCCCUCGACGUUGGGAUAACUUCAGGAAACUGGGGCUAAUACCGGAUAGGAGCUCCUGCUGCAUGGUGGUGGUUGGAAAGUUGGGGCGGUUGGGGAUGGACUCGCGGCUUAUCAGCUUGUUGGUGGGGUAGUGGCUUACCAAGGCUUUGACGGGUAGCCGGCCUGAGAGGGUGACCGGCGACAUUGGGACUGCGAUACGGACCAGACUCCUACGGGAGGCAGCAGUGGGGAAUCUUGCACAAUGGGCGGAAGCCUGAUGAAGCAACGCCGCGUGCGGGAUGACGGCCUUCGGGUUGUAAACCGCUUUCGCCUGUGACGAAGCGUGAGUGACGGUAAUGAGUAAAGAAGCACCGGCUAACUACGUG
This 468-nucleotide ribosomal RNA is filed under the name uncultured bacterium. RNAcentral's name for it is "partial 16S ribosomal RNA". It matches the Rfam family "Bacterial small subunit ribosomal RNA", at positions 28 to 507 of the family's 1533-position model. The record is from RNAcentral.